Molecule: long non-coding RNA, 14034 nt
Filed under: Homo sapiens (human)
Lineage: Eukaryota; Metazoa; Chordata; Mammalia; Primates; Hominidae
Description: HSALNT0064165
Source: RNAcentral
CAUCUCAAAAAAAAAAAAAAAAAAAGAAAGAAACCUAUUUCAAGUUUACACUCAAAGACAAUUUAUACUAUCUGCAAAGAUUACUCUUCCUCAACAGAACACAAGCUCAGUUCUAGCAUUGCCUAAGUACAGAUGCUCUUUAACCUGUGACCGAGUUACGUCCCAAUGAAACAAUCGUAAAGUUGAAAAAUCUUAAACCAUUAUAAAUCUGGACCAUUUAUACUUGCUUUAUUCACAAGGUACCACAGUGCAGCAGGCAAAAACUGACAUUGCUGGAUCUAGCAUAAGACAUUCUGAAAUGAUGUUCAAAAUCCAACCAAGGAGAACUGUUGAAGACUCAGCACUUCAAGAACAAACAGUUUGACAUUUACAUGAGAUAAGUGUAUGCGUAUACCCACUUUAAUGAGAACUGCAAAACGAAACAGGAAACACAAUUCAUCUGGUCAUUUCUCUAACACAGAAUAACAUUUUCACUAGAAGACAGAGCAAGAAAAGGACUUAUAUUUUGAUUUAAGUUUCCACUCUUUUUUUUACUCCCAAAGACUUCUCCCUUGAUGCUACACCUCCCUCCUCUUCUUAUCAAUUUGGAACAGAAAUAAUAAUCUGCUAAUACAUACCCGGGAGCUUUUUAAAUAAAGUGAAGAUGUGGACACUCCUAUAGCUAGAAAGAUAACAAAACAGGUGUUUAAAACUGGCUCCACAAUGCAAUAUAUAAAGCAUCCAAAAAGGUAUUAUAUUUAAAUUAUGGAAUGCUUCGACCUUAAUUCAGGCACAAAAAGACUUGAAUACUUAGGGGGGAAAUAAUCUUUUCUCUUCAAAUAGAAAAAAAAAAAAGUGGUAGGGGGAGGAGGGUCUAUCCAACCACACAAGAAAUGUGAAGCUAAUUCAAAGAACUCAAAAGCAGGAAUCAUAAAGGAAACCCCCAUUCUGUGGGCAAUUCUGAGGCCAGUUUUCUCCGUAUUUAGAUUGGAUCCAAAAAAGAAGUAGUAAAGCAUAUUCCCCAUUAACUCAGCAGUCUUGCCUCACAAAUAGUGUGCAAAUUACCUUCCAAGACACUGAAAACCCUCUUCAGAGAGGAAAUACCCAAGUUGAGGAAAAGGAAAAAAAUACCCACUUAAAAAAAAAAAAAGUUUGCCUUUUAAACCCAUAUUUGUUACUCUUAAUGUGUGUCCAAUUAAGAGACAGAGAAUACAAAAUGUUUAGUGCUCUCAAUUAUGUUACAAGACAAAUAUUUUUCUAAGACACUGUAGUUCAUCUACCUUAGGGAAACAUUCAUCCAGUGUGUUCUCACUGGUCACAAGUCAUGACUAUCUCCUAAAUGUCUGUAAUAUCUGCUUCUCCUUCCACAUCCCACCACGAAUGCACUCCUUCAGGCUCGACGCCUGCCUGCCCUCUUCAAUCACACCGCUGGUAGAGAAAAACCAUUAUGCCACCUUCAUUUAACUCAGUAAAUGAUAUGAUUUGGAUCUCUGUCCCCUCCAAAUCUCACACUGAGAUGUGACUCCCAACGUUGGAGGUGGGGCCUGCUGGGAGGUGACUGGAUUGUGAGGAUGGGUCCCUCAGGAAUGGCCUAGCACCAUCCCCAUGGUGAUGAGUGAGUUCUCAUUCAGUGCACAGGAGAUCUGGUUGUUUAAGAGUCUGGGACCUCUCCCUUCUCUCUCUUACUCCUCCUCUCGCCAUGUGACACGCUGGCUCCCCUUCGUCUUCUGUCAUAAUUGUAAGUUCUUUGAGGCCCUCACGAGAAGCAGAUCCCAGCACCAAGCUUCCUAUAUAUCCUGCAGAACCAUGACCCAAUUAAACCUCUUUUCCUUAUAAGCUACACAGUCUCAAGUAUUUCUUUACAUCAAUGCAAACACUGACAAGCACGAAUGAGCCUCAUUUACUAUUUAUUUAUUUAUUUAUUUAUUUAUUUAUUUAUUUAUUUAUUUUGAGAUGGAGGCUCACUCUGUCACCAGACUGGAGUGCAGUGGCACGAUCUCGGCUCACUGCAACCUUCACCUCCCAGGUUCAAGCGAUUCUCCUCCCUCAGCCUCCAGAGUAGCUGGGACUACAGGUGUGUGCCACCACGCCCAGCUAAUUUUUGUAUUUUUAGUUGAGACAAGGUUUCACCAUGUUGGCCAGGAUGGUCUCAAUCUCUUGACCUCAUGAUCCGCCCGCCUCGGCCUCCCAAAGUGCUGGGAUUAUAGGCAUGAGCCACCGCCCCAACCCUCAUUUACUAAAGCAUAAUUUGUUCCUGGGUCUGACACAGAGUUUACCGAGAAUUUAUUACUAUACAUAAACGCUAUAAUUUCCAACAGCAAGAAAACAUAAAAUAUUAAUAAAAUUAACGAGUAACCUAAAAUAUUUGUUAAUAACACAAAAAUAAAUACAAAGUUUGGGAAAAAGUUGAUGUAUCUUUAAGGAUUAAAUAGCCUAACAUUUUCUAAGGUAUUCCCAUCCUAUUCUCCCCCAAAAUAAAGUUAUUAAAAGCAUGAAUAUAAUGAUUCCCUCAUGCAUUUUUACAGGUAAGAGAAGCUAAUCCAUAUAUUGGACUUUUUCAGAAUUACUGUUUUUGGAAACACACUCAUGCCUGUAUUCAUUAUCUUAAAUUGAGGAACUAAGAGUGAAAAUAACUAAAUUUAACUACCUUUUCAGAACAACAAAAAUAAAUAACUUCUCUAAAUUACCUAAGAGAAUUUUUCCAUCAUUUUAUCUUCAGCAGUACUAUCACUGUCUGAAUGUUUGUGUCCCCUACCCCAGCGCAAAUUCAUACAUUGAAAUUCUAACCCCAAAGGUGAUGGUAUUAGAAGGGGUGGUACUAGAAGGGGUGACUGGAUCAUGAGGGACACUAAUCCCCAUUCAUGAGGGAUUAGUGUCCUUAUAAAGGAGGCCCAAGAAGACCCCUAGGCCUUUCAGCCACGUGAGGACACAGAGAGAAACUGCCAUCUAUGAACCAGAAAGCAGGCCUUCCUCAAACACCAAAGAAGCUAGUAUCUUGAUCUUGGAUUUCCCAGCCUCCAGAACUGUAGGAAAUAGAUUUCCGUUGUUAAUAAGCCACCCGGUCUCUGGUAUUUUUGUUAUAGCAGCCCAGACAGACUAAGACAAGUAUCAGGAAAUGACUUUCCUUCAGUCUGAAUGCCUCCUGCAUGCAGGAUAGGCUCUGGGAUACAAAGAUGACUAAGCUUUGACCCUUGCCCUUGAAGAACUUAAUCCAGUCUUCCUUAAAGACACUUGUAACAUGAACUUUUCUAUUUCAGGUUGGAAGUGCAAGAACAAGAGUAAAAAAUACAGAAAGAAUAAAGCAGGAACUGAAAGACUACAAGCUGUGAAAUAGCCUGUGGCCAACCACUGAGAGAUCUUAAGAAGAACCAUGCUAAUCAAAUCAUGGGAGCAUCCUCUAAGCUACUAUUGCUUCAUCAGAUCUGUUUCAAAACCGUUAGUGUUACAUGAACCAAGAAGCUGGAAAUAAACAGAAGGCAGUUUAUCAAAGUUUAAUGAAAAAUAAGUGACCACUCUUCCAAAGUCCAGAGAAACAAUAAAACAAGAGUUGCAAUUAAUACAAUUGAGUAAACACAGCAUCAUGGGAAUUCUUUGUCUAACAGGAGAACUGAAAGAAGGUGUAAUAUCUUUCCUUUACAGGUAUAAAUCUAAACCUAACUCUGUUUUAUACUCAUUAAAAGAGGAAAAGGGAGGCUACUUUUGCAAUUUAAACCUUGGGUGGCUGAUUAACCAGGUGCCAAUAGUAUCUAAGACUACUCCUGGAGGCAAAUGUCUAAUUUAUGCCUCAAAUAAAAAAAUUACCAGUCACUCAAAUAAGCAAUCAGGGUAAUGGAUCAGUCCAUCAAAAAAGCUUCUGGCCAGGUACAGAGGCUCAUGCCUGUAAUUCCAGUGCUUUGGGAGGCUGAGACGGGGAGAAUCACUUGAGACCAGGAGUUCCAGACCAACCCCAGCAACAUAGUGAGACUCCAUAUCUACAAAAAUAAUUGUAAAAAUUAGCCGGACAUGGUGGUGCAUUCCUGUAGUUCUAGCAACUCAGGAGGGUGAGGCAGGAGGAUCGCGUGAGCCCAGGAGGUCGAGGCUGUAGCAAACCGUGACGGUGCCAACUGCACUCCAGCCCGGACAACAGAGCAAGACUGUCUCCCAAAAAAAAGCUCCUCCUGGGAGAAGAGUACCAACUGACCAAAGACAAAAUAGUACACUUGCAGCAUUUUUAAGCGUUAAAUCCAACCCUCAGACAAUCAAGAUAUAAACCAUACCAGAGAGGAGAUCCCAUUUCACUUCUAGAGUUUUUUCCACUGGCCACACUUUGUGUAGCUUGUUUUCAUGUAUAAAUGAAUACUUCUCCCUUGGAGCCCACAUUUAUGAUUAUCCAACAGGUAUCUUUAAGGGGGAAAAUGAUACAAUCUAAAAGCUGCAGAGGAGUUCCACGCAACUAAGGAUUCUAGCCAGGAAUACCUAAUAACUUCAAAAGUGACCUUUGACUACAUGAGAAGAGUACUACCACCUAUUCCUCAUGCUACUAUUUUCUGGUCACACAUACUCCCAACUCCCCACUCCCCAGCCCCACCCCCAAGAUUCCCAAUCUCCAAGCUCUUCCCAGGCCCCCAUACCCAAACUGUUCAUCCACACACACCUUUGAGACCCCAGUCUGUGUGCCAUAGAACACAGCUGGCCUCAGGCAAAACUGAAAAGUAAGCAGUAUUUGUGUUUUGAGCCCCCUCUUUUCUCCAAAUCAGGAAAAGGGAAGCGAUGGGGUGCGAAUGCCAAAUAUUUAUCUUUGUGGUAAUAACACAUGCAAAGAAAAUGUCCCAGGAUUAAAAACAUAAGCAAGUAAACUAGAAAGAUCCUGGAAGAAGAUGUGAAUGUGUCCAUUGCCUCAUUUUGCUCACUGCCCUACCUGAAGCCUGAAUCCAAAGCUGAUUGAAAAAUAAUAUACAAUAACAGGAAGCCUCCAAGGGGACCUAAGCAAACACUGGGAACUCAAGGUCCAAGGGUACACAUUGUAGGUGAAGCUCCCCUUGCUCAACACAACCCGUAGGAUACAUGGCAAAUAUGUUUUCCUGGGCUUUAGGACUCUUACUAUGCAAAAUAAGGAGCAAGAAUAUCCACUACUCCAAAAGUUUUAAUACUGUUUUCUUCAAAGAAUAGAAGGUUCAAAAGCUGUAUCCUCGGCCGGGUGUGGUGGCUCACGCCUAUAAUCCCAGCACUUUGGGAAGCUGAGGCAGAUGGAUCACUUGACAUCAGGAGUUAGAGACCAGCCUGACCAACACCCUGUCUCUACUAAAAAUACAAAAAUUAGCCGGGGGUAAUGGUGGGUGCCUGUAGUCUCAGCUACUCUGGAGGCUGAGGCAUGAGAAUCGCUUGAACUCGGGAGGCAGCAGUUGCCAUGGCACUCCAGCCUGGGCAACACAGUGAGACUGUCUCAAAAUAAUAAUAAAUAAAACUUAAAAAUAAAAAUGUGCUGUUCUUUGUUUAAAAAAAAGCUGUAUCCUCAAUAUCACAUGUGUCUGUAAGAUUAAUUUGGCAUGAUGCAGGGUACUUUAUCAACUCCUUUUUCCAGGUUUUUUUUCUACAAUGAUUAAGAAACAGCUACUACUUAUUGAAUCCCUGUCAUCUGCCAGGUAGAUAGUAACUAGAUUUUACAAGUGGGGAAACUGAGGCUUGAAGAAGACAAGCAACUUUUCCAAGGUCACAAAACUACAAAGUGACUGGAAUCCAGCCAUGUCUGACCAAAAUGUAUACUCGUCUAGUCCACACCACCACUUCUCCCCUCUACUAGGCGUGGUUUCACCAUGUCAAUUCAAUACAGAGAUAAUUCAACAAGACUGCUAAAAUAAGAGAAUGCAGUUAACUGGGUCAAAGGAACAUCCCCAAAGGCAGGACAAGUUCUCUUCUAGGAAAUAUGUGUUCCUCCCUGAAGCAGAGCCUUCUACCCCCAACUUCUUUUUCUUCAAAUUCCUACCAGUAACAAGUCUCUCAGUUAAGUAAAAUUACAGUCUCAAGAAAAAUUUUUUACCAAAUCUGCCAUGUUUCAUGCUCUCGAUAAAAUCUAAAACCAGCCACUUCUCACCUCUGACCAGAUUUUCUCUUUGGUAAACAUUUGGGCUCUCCUUAAGGGCUCACCUCCCAAUGCAUUCACAUUCCAGUGUCUGCUCAGCUUCUGUGUGUCCCGGCAACAAGAGUGACUCCUAUAGGAAUCCAUUCACAGAAGUUCUGAAAUCUAAGCCCUUUACAUCUACAAAAUGGUUUGAAUUACUUGGAAAUGCUUCUAAUUAAGAUUAUCAUAACAAAAGCCAGCAAUAAAAAGUAAUAAAGUAACACCACAGUAUGUGGAAAUUUCCUAUUAAGGGCUCAGAAGUCCAGGAAAGGACCCUCUCCGGCUCAGUUUUCUGACCCACAAGCUGCCCUCUCAAAGCACACAGGAAGAAUUAAAUUCGGCCACCUUUUUAUAUACUUUUAAGCAACUAGUUUGAGACGUUGUCCACCAUACAAUCCAGGAAAACAGAAUUUUACAGCUGGAUACUUAAGACCAUUACAAAGUUGAAAGAAGCUGUCCAGAUUUAAGACUUCAAGGCAAACACACUAAAAAUGCUCUUUUAAAAUGUAAUGCUUUUAAGAUUUUCCUUUCUAGAUUUGAGUUACUAGAGCUUUGUUAAGCAACUGUUGGAAAGCCAGGCACACUUAGAUUCUUGGUCUUGGAAGAACUACAGCUUUGAGGACAUACACACACUGACUUGUACACAUGAACAGAUUAUUCCAAUUCUUCUCUCAUUCUGCACCAAGUCCAAAUUCAAGACUGACACUAGCCUCUACAGAGAGCAAAGGAAAAAUGUGACAAAGAUUUUCCAGCCAGCCCCGCCCCUCCUCCCGCACACCCUCAGCACAUACAAGCACACAGCCGAUUCUAUGCACGUUGAAUUCGGAGCCAGUUUAUGUACCAUGACAUCAGUGCAGUAUAAUGAGCCAAGUUGAAACUCCAUCUGGGACAAAUAAUGUCCAGGCACACUGUGACUUCUUUUGUUUAUAUACAGUGACUAAAUAUGUCUUGGUGGUAAAUGAACUAACUCAAGAUUUAUUUCCCAAGGCCUCCAAAACGAUAUUCUGCACCCUGAAGCAACUCCCUGCCUCCAGUUCUUUUUCCAAGGCUAUGCAUAAGUGAUUUUUAGCAGAACACAUGAUUUUUGAAACAUAUAAUUAACAUCUUCAGGAGAGUCAAAGUCCAAGCAGUCCUUCAUCAACCUAAAACAAAGAAAACGAGGAACUCAUGAGCAACCCGGUACGGUAUCACUGCUCAUAGUAAAAAUCUGCGUGACACUUAAUUCUGUAUUCCCCUUAGAAAACAGGAAAAGUAGAAGCGAGAGAUUUAAGAAAUACCUGUGACGCGAAGUGGCCAUUUUCUUUCCUUUUGAAGGAUACACUUUGUUUCUUUUAUUCUGGCAUUACUCUGUAAACUCAGAAUGAAAAACCACCUAAUGUGUUCAAAUCUUACAAGGUUUUAAAUUUCUUUAGUCUCAAAGCUGCAUCUAGGGUGAUGCAAUUUUUUAAUGGAAAUGAAGGACGGGGUUUGGGAAGAAAAGGUAGGCAAAAGGCCCUCUCCUAACUCCAGGGUGAGACUCCCACGGGGGAGGAACCUCUACUACCUCUACUAUCUCUACCUACUACUACCGUCUACUACCCUUCUCUGGCCACCACCAUCUCUCAGCAACUGCUGACCCGGGAGGGAGCAGCCCUCCUACUGCCAAUCUCAAGAAAAGAACCAUUCCCUAAGGAAAAAAGGGAGCCGCUGCUGUGACCCGGACUGGGGCUUCGGAAGAUUUCACUCCCAGCUCCUUUUGCAAACACAAGCCUGACCUCCAGGCCUUCCGACACUACCACUGCUGCUUAGUCCUCAAUUUUCAGAAGCUGGGGAGCCAGAGGCACUGCCACCUUCUGGAGUUAAUGUGGAGAUCAUGUAAGAUAAUGAAGAGGAAUGGCCUCUAUAAAGUUUACAAUUUACUACUGUGCAAAAACCAAGUGCCAUCUCGCUCCCCAGCUGUUUACCUGAACAAGACUAAGAGAGGUGAGUCCAAGCCAGGCAGCUCCACCUUUCCCAGAAGGUAGGAUCUGAGUUUUGGAAGAGGAGAUAAGUGGGUUCAAAUUCCAGCUCUGUGAUUUGCCAGUUGCAAAUACUCAACCUUUCUCGCCUCGGGUUUUGUCUAUAAAGAUGACUGCCGCCUUACAGCGUGUGUAAUUACUGGAUGAAAUAAUGUGUGUAAGGGCUCAGCACCAGCCCCAGCACCUCGUAAGCCCUCCCCAAUAGUCACUAAUCCUUCCCUCCACCUCGGCAGGAAGAAAGAGAUAAAAAUAUCCAUUAAAAGCCACUGUUUCCAACAAUUUUAACUUAGUGUCCACAGAUAACCACUCAAGUAAAAGUUGAGAUUGGAUUGAGACUAAAAGCAUUCUAGUAAUCAGCAGGCUUCCAAAGUAGCACUUAAGUUUGAGGUAAAUGCCAAAAAUUAACACUUAGCAUUCUUUCAAAGUCCUAACUCUGACCUUUCAUACAGUUUUUAGAUUGCUAAGGUAUGGAAAUCUCUGGAAGAGUCAACCUUACAGCAUCUUUUGUCCUACAUUUCCCUCUAGGUUUAAGAGUAAUUGUUAGAAAAUGAGUCACUGUCCCCCUCCAAAGACAGCAUUCACACCUGGUGUGACACUUAUCUUUCUGCCUUGUUAAUGGAGGCUCUUUAAAGUUCCAAGAUUGGCCCAGGCGUGGUGGCUCACGCCCGAAAUCCCAGCACUUUGGGAGGCCAAGGCGGGAAGAUCACUUGAGGCUGGGACUUCGAGACCAGACUGGCCAAUGUGUUGAAACCUCAUCUCUACUAAAAAUUUAAAAAUUCACAGGGUGUGGUAGUGGGUGCCUGUAAUCCCAGCUACUUGGGAGGCUCAGGCAGGAGAAUUGCUUGAACCAGGGAGGCAGAGGUUGCAGUGAGCUGAGAUCGCGCCAUUGCACUCCAGCCUGGGCGACAGAGCAAGACUUCAUCUAGAGAGAAAAAAAAAAGUUCCAAGUGUGCAGAAGUAGUCAAUAAAAAGUAGGAGCACUCUCAUCCCGAGUAAACCACUUUAAAAAUGAGAAAGCAAGAGACCGUGGGAAGUAAGCUGGAUGUGGACACCGAUCUAUGAAAGGAUAAUGUCUCCUAACACCCAACUCCACCAUCAAUUGAUUCCCUGUGUCCUGAAAACAGACAGAUAUUAUUCAUAUAGAUAAACCUAGUAUCUGAUUUCCUAUCACAAACCCUAAGAGAAAAAUAUGGAUGCCAUUCAUUUGUAAUUCUUAUUAAUAUUUUAUAUUAUAGUUUUACAUUCAGUCAUAACUAAAGCCAUCAAGUAAAUUAUAAAGAAAUAGCCAUUCUAUAUAGAUGUUUUCCAUGUGACUUUUUUGCCAAGGUGAUAAGAGUUUAAAUGGGUUCUAAACAGAUCCAUUCUGGCAAUAUAAAACAAAAAUUAAAAAUUAGCUGCAUUACUGUGGCCUAUUUAACUACCAAACAACAUCAUUAAUUAAAGCACAUCCUUCUGUAUGUCACAGCUUCUCCCUUGAACUAGAAUGACAACUCAACACUCCAAUAUAAAGACCAAAGAAACUUCUGAGACAGUAACAUGCUCAGUGAUUAAUGUUUCUGACUACUGCUUAGAAAACACAAAAACAUUUUACCAUAUUCCAGCCUGGGUGACAAGAUGAGACCCCAACUCAAAAAAAAAAAAUUAUCAACUUCUGAUUGCAUGAAUAUAACAACAACAACAAAAGGUUUGGUUAAGGCCUGGCACAGAGGGUCACACCUGUGUAAUCCCACAUUUUGGGAGGUCUAGGCAGGACGAUGGCUUGAAACCAGGAGUUUGAGACCAGCUUGGGCAACAUAAGGGGACUAUCUCUACAAAAAAUAAAAAUAAGUAGCCAGGCCAUGCUGGUGCAUGCCUAUAGUCCCAGCUACUCAGGAGGCUGAGGUGAGAGGAUAGCUUGAGCCCAGAAGGUUGAGGCUGCAGUGAGCUGGGACUGUAUCACUGUACUACAGCCUGGGGAACAGAGUGAGUCUCAAAAACAAAACAUAUUAAUGACCCUUCCUGAAAACUAAAAGUCAUGUAACAUAAUUGGUCAAUAACACAAGUCCAUGUCCCUUCAAAUCUAAGGUGUGGCUAACAAGAACUGAUUUGCAUUUUUUUAAACAACAGAAAUGGAACCUUAGUAACAAGUUUACUGAUAUACUUUCUAGUCAACCUGCACCCAAAACUAGACCACAAUUACCUCUGGAUCUUUGCUGUCUCCACUUAACUGCCCAAUUAUUUGCAAAGCAGAAGCCCUUGGAAGGGUAAUUUGCUAAAUGCAGACUGUCCAUUUUAUUCAAAUGCUUGUCUACUAUGCUGUAAGGAGCAAGGAAGGGGCAGGAAAGAGAAGACCCAGGAAGGGAGGGCCAAAUUAUUCUUGUUCAUCAAAGUGCUGAACACACCUGCUGCUCAGGUAAAACACAUUCCCUCUCAACAGAUGAUCUGAUCUGAUGGUCACCUGUUAAGGAAAAAGGCCCAGGGCAGGGAAGAAAUACCAAUGUAGGCAUUAACACUAAAGCAGCACAUGCAUAAUGUUUCUUCUGGGGACCCACCAUGUCUAGCUUCAAGUUAUUGUAACAUUAAAGCUGACCAGAAAAUGACUAAGAGGCAUCUAGUUCUGGCCAAUGCCAAUUUAAAUGAGGGAACAAAUAUAAUCUAAAGGCAGCUAAAUCCAAGAUUACCUAGAUAAAACACUACAGCACUUCAGCAACUGGCUCCUUGGCAGGCUGUUUAUUUUUGCAUUUGGAAAUGUAGGAGAGAGAAAAAAAAAAAGAACGAGAAUGAGUAUCUGCAUUUGGAACUUGGAGAUUAAUGUUACGAAUUUUACGCAGCUUGCUUACUACUGUCAUGUUUGGAGUGUAACGCAUAUAUUUUAUAUAGUCAUAUGUUUAAAUCAAUCAUUUGGACUAAAAAAGAAAAGAGUCUGCCUACAUGAAAACGAUUAUGUGCAAACAUAUUCUGGAUGCAGAAGUGUCUCGUCUUAACACAUUCUGGAUGCAGAAGUGUCUCAUCUUUUCUUCCUGUGUUUAUAGACUACUUUUACUGUACUAUGAGAUACAUCAGUAGCUAUCACAUCACAUUCAACAUGACAAAUACACAUUUUCAAAACAAGAAAAGGAGAAAUCAGAGUUUGGAAAUCUAUCCAAUUUAAUCUUAUGUCUUUAAAAGUUAAUAUGGAAAUGCUUUAUGGCCGGGCAUAGUGGCUCACACCUGUAAUCCCAGCACUUUUGGAAGCCAUGGCAGGAGGAUCCUCUGAGCCCAGGAGUUCAAGACCAGCCUGGGCAACAUAAGGAGACCCUGUCUUAAAUACUUACAUACAUACAUACAUAAAUGCUUUAAAUAAAAAUUCCUCAUCUAGGUAAUACCAGGAAAAGUUUACCCUUAAAAACAACUCUUUCAAUAAAUACUUAAAGACUCAAUUCUUGGAAACUGUAAAAAAGAAUAUAAACACAAGUAUUUGCAUCUCUGCGCUUGGACUGCUUUUACCUUGCAUCUGUGUUUAAUGUCUCCUAACUAGACUGUAAACAGUAAAACUAAGGAAUAGGAUUGUUUCUUUUGGCCUGUCUAUGCUUUAGUGAAUGUUCCAUGCGGCACUUAUUGGGGGCCUCAAAUCCUAAAAACUAAAAGCCAAAAAACAAAACAAAACAAAAAAACCCACACGGGUCCUAACAUGUAAGAGGUAAAGUUGAAAUCCUUCUACAAAGCAACAUGAACCAGCGCCCAGCCUAAUUCAUUUUACAAGUCAUGGGGCAAGUAGAUAACUAAAAGAUUUUAAAACACAUUAUCAGUUUGAUACACAAUGCACAUGCCUGAAAAAAUUUUAAUCAUUUUUCUGUAUUUAAAAUAUGAUAUGCAUGAGCACAAGAUGCAAUUUAAAGUUUAAAAAGUUAACAAUUUCCAGAUUCCAAACCCGGAUGACCACAGAGUUCAGGCAGGCUCGGAAACUAAGUGAAGUGGACAGAGUAGGCACCGAAGAGGACAUUCCGCAUCAACAGCAAAUGGCUGCAACUUCUGUGCCAAUUGUUGCCAAGUAGGAAGGACCAGCCCAGUGUUAACAUAUCUUCUGGGUUGUUGUUGUUGUUUUUUUUUUGAGACAGAGUUUUGCUCUUGUUGCCCAGGCUGGAGUGCAAUGGCGCAAUCUCGGCUCACUGCAACCUCCGCCUCCUGGGUUCAAGCGAUUCUCCUGCCUCAGCCUCCUGAGUAGCUGGGACUACAGGCAUGCAGCAUCACGCCCGGCAAUUUGGUAGAGACGGGGUUUCACCGUGUUGGUCAGGCUGGUCUUGAACUCUAGACCUCAGGUGAUCCACCCGCCUCGGCCUCCCAAAAGUGCUGGGAUUACAGGCGUAUGUCUUCUGGUUUUUCCAAUUAAACAGAAAAAUCCAGAGUUUUAUAUAAAUCUUCCCAUUUUUAAUAUUGGUACUGAAAUCUUUUUCUUUUAAACUAAAGGUAAAAAAACAAAAACAAAAACAACACACACACCCCCCCCCAUGCCUGUAUGACAAAGGCAAUAAGCUACUUUUCAAGCCCUGAUAUAGAUGAAUUAAAUCUGUUCAUUGCCUUCAUCCUUCAUCCAUUCAAAAAGAUUUACUGAAUGUUACUUCAGAUGCCAGGCACAGCAUGAACAAGAGAGGGACAGUCCCUACCCACCCUGAGUUAACAAGGAAAUCAGACAGCCAAAAAUUGCAAUAAUUUGAAAACAAUCAUAAUGUUAAAAUCACCUUAGAUUUUAAAAUUGCCAUUAUUCUGCAGUGCAAUGCUACCAUGCCAGUAUUUUACCUUAAUCCUUCCUGUUUUAAGGGCAGCUCAAUUUCUAGCAUUUGAAGGAUACUGACUACAUCUUAUAUCUUAUUAUUAUUGCCUUUGGCUAAUUAAAUUCUGAAGUGUCUCUCAACCCAGACAGCUCAGAGCUGCCAUAAUUAUAUGUCCUAUGUUCUAAUUAUUGGGGGUGCCACAUAUAACAACACCCUCUGAUAACAUGGCAUCAACAUUUUCCUUUGUAAGACUGAGAUUCUGCAUAGGCUAUGCCUUUUUGGAAGCUUUUGUAGUGAGCAAAAUUGGCAAAACUAACUCAGAGAGAUCUGAAAAGUCAGACCACAGAUCUGGAUAAAAUCACACCUUUUUUUUAUAGUUAAAAGGAGGCCCUCAAAGCAAGGGUUGCUGCCUCCGCAGCUGGAAAAGUGGAUCUGGUUGUGGGGGGUGCUUGUGAUCUGCCCCACUGUGGAGUCAGUAAUUCUGAGCAACAGGCAUCAAGCGGACGGGUGGACCUUCGGACUGGAGAAUCAGAGGACAAAUACAUUCACUAACAAAGACACUAAGUAGCAGAAGUUCAAGCAAAGAGAUCACCGACUAUGCAGAUAAGGUUUGUUUGUAGUGCCCCUAAUAGCUCUCCACUGCAUAUGUAAUCCCUAUAAUGUAUUCUCCUUUAAUAAAACAGAAACGGAUUACUUGAUGUACAAAGUCUGGAUAGUUCUAGCCUUCACUUCAUCUUAGAUCUGAUCUGACCCAGGCUCAGCCUCCCCACAGAUACUUUUCCUAGCCUGGUCUGUUUUCCUGCCCACUUAUCCCAAUCCUCAAUUCCUCCUCUGAACUCCUAAGCACUGUGACACUCUGCAAUCCAAGCACUCUCCUGUGAUUUCACGUAUGUGUAAAUACAGCCUUUUUUUUUUUUUUUGGUAGGCCACAUUUUGCUCCUCAACUAGACUGCUCAUUCCUUUAGGGCAAGAACAGUGCCUUAUUCAUCUUUCUGUCACCAGCACCUAAUACACUGCCAGCAUAUAAGACAUUUGAUAAAUACUUAUUAAAAUGAACAAAUCUAUUAUUCAGUCACUCCUAAAUUUAGUCAUAAAUCCUAUCCUCUCAUUCUUUUUUUUUUUUUUUUUUUUUUUAAGGCAGAGUCUCACUGUGUCACCCAGGCUGGAGUGCAGUGGUUCAAUGUCGGCUCACUGCAAGCUCCGCCUCCCAGGUUCACGCCAUUCUCCUGUC